GGCCAGGAAGAGGAGGAAGCCCUGGAGGGGCUGGAGGUGAUGGACGUUUUCCUCCGGUUCUCAGGGCUCCACCUCUUUCGAGCC
This 84-nucleotide microRNA precursor is filed under the name Marmota marmota marmota (Alpine marmot). RNAcentral describes it as "mir-671 microRNA precursor family". It matches the Rfam family "mir-671 microRNA precursor family". The record is from Rfam by way of RNAcentral. Lineage: Eukaryota; Metazoa; Chordata; Mammalia; Rodentia; Sciuridae. RNAcentral also lists the same sequence under 6 other names.